UUGGGAAUCUUGGACAAUGGGGGAAACCCUGAUCCAGCCAUGCCGCGUGAGUGAUGAAGGCCUUAGGGUUGUAAAGCUCUUUUGCCAGGGAAGAUAAUGACGGUACCUGGAGAAUAAGCCCCGGCUAACUUCGUGCCAGCAGCCGCGGUAAUACGAAGGGGGCUAGCGUUGUUCGGAAUUACUGGGCGUAAAGCGCGCGCAGGCGGUUUCCCAAGUCAGUGGUGAAAGCCCGGAGCUCAACUCCGGAAUUGCCAUUGAAACUGUGAAACUUGAGUACGAGAGAGGUGAGUGGAAUUCCCAGUGUAGAGGUGAAAUUCGUAGAUAUUGGGAAGAACACCGGUGGCGAAGGCGGCUCACUGGCUCGUUACUGACGCUCAGGCGCGACAGCGUGGGGAUCAAACAGG
This 404-nucleotide ribosomal RNA is filed under the name uncultured bacterium. RNAcentral's name for it is "bacterial SSU rRNA". It matches the Rfam family "Bacterial small subunit ribosomal RNA", at positions 355 to 776 of the family's 1533-position model. The record is from RNAcentral.